RNAcentral lists this unclassified non-coding RNA (336 nucleotides) under soil metagenome. RNAcentral describes it as "partial contains 5.8S ribosomal RNA, internal transcribed spacer 2, and large subunit ribosomal RNA". The stretch from base 1 to 120 matches the Rfam family "5.8S ribosomal RNA", at positions 35 to 154 of the family's 154-position model. The record is from RNAcentral.
GAUGAAGAACGUAGCGAAAUGCGAUAAGUAAUGUGAAUUGCAGAAUUCAGUGAAUCAUCGAAUCUUUGAACGCACAUUGCGCCCGCCAGUAUUCUGGCGGGCAUGCCUGUUCGAGCGUCAUUUCAACCAUCAAGCCCCAGGCUUGUGUUGGGGACCUGCGGCUGCCGCAGGCCCUGAAAACCAGUGGCGGGCUCGCUGUCACACCGGGCGUAGUAGAUUUUAUCUCGCUCAGGGCGUGCUGCGGGUCCCGGCCGUUAAAAGCCUUUUUUUACUCAAGGUUGACCUCGGAUCAGGUAGGAAGACCCGCUGAACUUAAGCAUAUCAAUAAGCGGAGGA